This 76-nucleotide transfer RNA is filed under the name Venatoribacter cucullus. RNAcentral's name for it is "Oceanospirillaceae bacterium xL5 tRNA-Val". It matches the Rfam family "tRNA". From Rfam's summary of the family: Transfer RNA (tRNA) molecules are approximately 80 nucleotides in length. RNAcentral also lists the same sequence under 2 other names. Lineage: Bacteria; Pseudomonadati; Pseudomonadota; Gammaproteobacteria; Oceanospirillales; Oceanospirillaceae. The record is from RNAcentral.
GGGUGUUUAGCUCAGCUGGGAGAGCAUCUGCCUUACAAGCAGAGGGUCGGCGGUUCGAUCCCGUCAACACCCACCA